ACCAAUACAAAGCCAUUUGAGAGUUCUUUAUUCCAUUUGAGAGUUUAUUUUGUGAGAGAAAAUAUUGAGUGAAAAAUAUUGUUCUUUCUUUGUCCUCAUCAUUAUAAGAGGAUAUCUUGUACUCUCUUUUACAUAGUGGAACUUCGCUCUUGAGCGCCUGUGUUUUUUUUACCUCUUACACUAAGGGGGUUCAUCUCUUGUUAUUAUUUUACUUCUCUUUAUUUUCAAUUGAUUAGAUCUUGUGCUUCCGCAUACCGCUGAUACCCUAACAAUUUUUAAUACGGGGUUUUAAUAAUCGGUUAUGGAGAACGAAUGGUGAAAAAAUAAUGUACUAAAUUUUGAAUUAUUAAAAAUUCACACGGAUGGAGCAACAUUCGUUGUGGAAAGAUAAAUCAUAUGAAUAAUAAAUUUACUACUUGUAUGACAUUUGACAUUAAUGGUAAGUACAUGGUAAUUAGUUUGUAGUGAAUGAUAUACAACAAAAUUCAACAAUGAUAUAAUGAUGACCUCUAAAAACGUAUUUAGAUGGAAUUUGUCGCUACCCAGUUGUUUAUAAUGAUUGUUCCCUUUGAUCUAUUGAAUUUUAUAGGAUGGUAAUUUCCGUAGCCAUCAAAAAAUGUCAAAAUUGCUUGAAAUUGAUUGAAAUAAGUGUUAAUCGAAAUUAUUUUAUGUAGGAAAUCAAACUCGUAGUUAAGCUUCAAAUAACAUUUUCAAAUCUCAAACUUCAUGACUUGUAACGAGAAUUCUUACAUAUGAUUCCAGUCAACAAUCAGGGCAACUGAUGCCACAGAAUCUCAUUGAUUAAACUUUAAUGAAAAG
This 819-nucleotide long non-coding RNA is filed under the name Cicer arietinum (chickpea). Its description in RNAcentral is "long non-coding RNA (CARI_LNC002429)". The record is from RNAcentral. Lineage: Eukaryota; Viridiplantae; Streptophyta; Magnoliopsida; Fabales; Fabaceae.